AGCCAUAGCCAUAUCACCCUGCAGCCCAAGACUGGUUGCCCACUGAAGCUAAGCAGGGUUGAGCCUGGUCAGUACCUGGAUGGGAGACAUCCUGGGAAAACUAGGUUGCUGUUGGAA
This 117-nucleotide ribosomal RNA is filed under the name Sinocyclocheilus grahami. Lineage: Eukaryota; Metazoa; Chordata; Actinopteri; Cypriniformes; Cyprinidae. The record is from RNAcentral.